This 253-nucleotide ribosomal RNA is filed under the name uncultured bacterium. RNAcentral's name for it is "partial 16S ribosomal RNA". It matches the Rfam family "Bacterial small subunit ribosomal RNA", at positions 524 to 776 of the family's 1533-position model. The record is from RNAcentral.
UACGUAGGGUGCAAGCGUUGUCCGGAAUUAUUGGGCGUAAAGAGCUCGUAGGCGGUUUGUUGCGUCGGCUGUGAAAUCCCGAGGCUCAACCUCGGGUCUGCAGUCGAUACGAGCAAACUAGAGUGUUGCAGGGGAGACUGGAAUUCCUGGUGUAGCGGUGAAAUGCGCAGAUAUCAGGAGGAACACCGGUGGCGAAGGCGGGUCUCUGGAACGCAACUGACGCUGAGACGCGAAAGCGUGGGGAGCAAACAGG